RNAcentral lists this long non-coding RNA (1609 nucleotides) under Gallus gallus (chicken). RNAcentral describes it as "lncRNA (ENSGALG00010004659.1)". Lineage: Eukaryota; Metazoa; Chordata; Aves; Galliformes; Phasianidae. The record is from RNAcentral.
GCUCAGCAGUGGCCUCUGACUUGCAGGACUUCCUGCUCUAAGGAAGUCUUAUAUCAUCUGUCCAAAAUAAACAGAUUUUGGGGAGGAGGAGCUGGACUGCGAUACGAUUUAAUGUGAGAAACCGCGUAUCUUGCUUCUAAUUUACCCCCCAGUGCUCAUCUUUCUGAUAGGAUUGUGGGAGUCUCCUUCUGCAAAAUAUUACUGUAAUAAAACCUGCAUUUUGAGAUGGCUCUGCGCAAUGAGGAAACAAUACGGCGUUGGCUACCAGCGGUCUGACAGCAGCCACCAGUGAGAGGUUGGAAAGGUGGAGGAAGAAGAGCUUUUGUGGCUGGUGCAUGCAAUCACUGGUCCAUAGGGAAGGCUGCUGCCUAAGCAACCCGUCUCCCCAGCGCAUGAGGAUUUAUAGCCGUGUUUUUAAAGCUGUUGAUUGGAGGUAUGGCAGCGUUCGUGGCAUCCAGUGGAAGAAUAAUGUCUUUCCUUAAUUACGGCUUAGUCUGCAGGAGUGGUAGUGAGUUUUGUUACAUAUGUUUCUCCUGAUUUAUCUUUCCCACUUUCCAUUUUCACUGUCUCUCUCUGCUAUUUAUGAACUGAUAGUCAGAAGGAAGAUAAAUCUGUAUGUGAUUUUUGUGCACUGCCUUAAUGCCAUUCCUUUCUUCUUCAGAGAUAUCCUGGUUGUCUCCUCACUUCCUUUUUUUAUUUCUAUGCUUAAGUAUUUUGACAUCGGUGAGCUUCUCACUCUCUUCUGUCCUGCUUUAUAACGAGUGUUGCUGUGAUGGGAUUCCAAGAACGUAAGCAUAUUUUGAGCAGGGCUGGGAAGAAGAUGGCUACAACUGCACUGCUUGUGCUGAAAAUGCAAUGCCAUCUCCAAAUGUGUUCCUCUUGGUAGUUAACUCUGACUUUCUGCUAUUUGUUGUGCAAGGUCUCAGUCUGUAUCUUGAAGUGUUUGGUGUACAUCUGGAAGAAUAAAUAGCCCAGUGUAAGUUACAGCCUUUUCAAUAAAAGGCGUGGAAAAGGGAGAGAGGCAAAACAAAGGACCAAAAGCAUCUAAGUUUCAGAAAUGGAUCUGCGAAUAUGUGACAUCUGGUCACUCUCUGCAGCGUCCCUUUCUGGCUGAAAACAACUGCCUUAUGAAGGAUCUGGCACUUGAAUGGAUCUUAGAUGAUUGUAAUAGCUCCUACAGGAUGGUUGCCCAGGGAGGCUGUGGAUGCCCCAUCCCUGAAGGCAUUCAAGGCCAGGCUGGAUGUGGCUCUGGGCAGCCUGGUCUGGUGGUUGGCGACCCUGCACAUAGCAGGGGGGUUGAAACUCAAUGAUCAUUGUGGUCCUUUUCAACCCAGGCCAUUCUAUAAUUCUACAGAAACAUAGGUGACUGUUUUUCCACAUAAACACUACAUUAUCACUGCACUGCUCCUGACAUUUUUUAGUGGAAUAGAAACGUUGUCUUUAGACAUGCUGUGUGACUGCCUCUGUGCUGGGAGAACCUCCCAUGGUUGGUGAUCUGUCCCGUUGGUUCAUUGUCGCUCUCCUGAGUCUAAUUGUCAGAGUGAAAGAGAGUUUGCUUCCCUUCCUGGGCAUGGUGUGAUACCGUUGUCUGCUCAUUUCCAGGGCCCUG